RNAcentral lists this small RNA (28 nucleotides) under Bombyx mori (domestic silkworm). Its description in RNAcentral is "ovarian small RNA-33205". Lineage: Eukaryota; Metazoa; Arthropoda; Insecta; Lepidoptera; Bombycidae. The record is from RNAcentral.
UGAUUUGAUUUAUCCAAUGAGAAAUGCC